This 1248-nucleotide long non-coding RNA is filed under the name Medicago truncatula (barrel medic). Its description in RNAcentral is "long non-coding RNA (MTRU_LNC003361)". Lineage: Eukaryota; Viridiplantae; Streptophyta; Magnoliopsida; Fabales; Fabaceae. The record is from RNAcentral.
GACUGAAAUUCAUAGAAUCAUUUAAAGUUACAUGAACAAAUAAUUAUUGAAAAGUUCAACUUUCAAGACCUAACAAAUAGAGGAUUUAGCUACUCAUAAUUUCUAAACACAUAAUUAUAUUUGAAUAAGAAAACAAGAGAAAAGGGUCAUUGAUAGAUGAUUCUUUGGCACUUGAUUAGUUCCCGCAGCUCCAAUCCUUCUGAAAUCGCAUUUCUAACUUUGUAUACUCGUCAAAAAGCGUUGCAAUACUAACCUAUGGUUCGCGAUGCGUGCUUAUUCCUCACGACGCGAGGUAGGUCAUGAGUAUCUGUGUUGGCCUUAUCGCUCUAUAUCACGAUGCGGGUCUCAUAGCCCACGAUGCGAGAUAUACAAUGGCGAUCUCCUUGAUUUCAAUCGUUUUCUUACAAUACACGACUCAUAGCCCGCGAUGCGAGUUAGGCAAAAGCUGACUCCUUGGUUUCUUCAUUCCUUGAUUCAUUUCUUCUAACCAGAACGUUUGUAACAACUAUACCCCAAACUUAAUCAAUGAUAUACUUGUAAAAAGCAUAACACAAUAGAGAGUUGUCUGAUUCUGGUGGAUUUCGAUAACUUUAAAGCAUUUUCCCGUCUUUAGGUAUUUCAUGACUUUCUAAAUGAUUUAUUUACAAAACUUGACUAAAGCAAUCAUAAACUUCCUACUUUAUUGCUAAAAUGGCACUAAUUGAUGACUCAACCCUAUAUAAUUUUUUUGUCAUCAAUUACACAAUGCGUUUUGGAUAGUUACUUUAUAGACCAAUUUUUCCGUCAGAAGUUUACCUAUGAAGCAUUUCUUGCAUGCCUCAACACCUUAUUACCCGUCUCCAUCUCAAUAGACGACGAAUGUUUGCUUGUCAAAUUCAGUGUGGUCCUAAUUUUGGACACACUAAGAUUCCCCAUGAUGAAAGCUAAGAACUUUCAAAUUUUGUAUAUGGAAAGGGAUGUUGAACACUUGGAUGAUUUACACAAUGCUUGUAGGGUGAGACCCUAUUCAUGAUGGUGAAAGAUUGAUUUUUCUCACGAUUCAUUAGGGUUCAGAGACAUAAAACCCAGAACAAGAGAAGGGGAAAGCAAUGUAGAGAACAUAAAAAUGAAAGAAAAUGGAGCAUGAAGUAGAAAAUCUCAAAGCAAGAGAGAAAAGGGAAGCACACAAGUGCUACGCACAAAGGAAGCCACGAGAGUUAUAUCUUAGGUUGUUGGUUUUCAUCAACCUACUUAUUUUUUAUAUUGUCU